AAUAUUUGAGUCUGUCAGGCAACCGUGCGACCACCCCAGCCACGUGUGGCUGAGAACGAUCCUCUACAGCUCACGGACCUCAAAGGAUCCUUAGCCGUUAAUCACGCUCUGAUCGUACGGCCAUGCUUCAUCUUCCAGACUGUGGUUCCUGUCUCCUUCGUGCUAAAGGACACAGAGGUACGAUCCUAUAGAACAGAUCCUGUUCAAGUAAGGUCGUGCACCGGUUUCCUUACCUCAGCAAUUAGAUGGACCGCUUCGUUGUUUCAACUUUUCGAUGUGGGAUUGUAACUCGCCUCCUUCAGGGAUUAAAUCGUCUUUUCGACACGCAAAGGCGAUUGUGGCACGCGUCUCUCACAUGACAAAAGCCGGCGAUAUCACUAUUUGUUAAAUAAUUCAAUUAUCAAGCUUCCAAAAAUAAAAUAGCAGCACAGAUUCCCAGUCCCGAGAGAGCAAGCAAGCUGGUUCGGGAGAUAUUCUUCUUCUUCUUCGUGCUUGUUAGAGAGAUCCGAUUAGGUUCCUCUGGUUACUCUAAGGUUAAACGUGAAUCAAAUUUAGAUCACCGACAGAGAGAGGGAGAGAAUGGGAGGGUAUGCUUUGGGGUCGGCUUUUGAUUUGAAAUCAGGGCAGAUGAUAAUGGUGGCUUUAUUAUUAAUGGUGGGUUCUUUCUACUUGGGCACUCUAUUUGGCAACAAUGCUCCCGUUUAUGUCUCUCAAUUCUCCUCUAAUUCCUCUUCCUCUUCAUCUCCUGAUAUGUUCACAUUUAGCAACAAAAUUGCUCGCUUUUAACUGAAAAUGGGAUGAAUAUAUGCCCCAUGAAGUUUAAUGAGUAAAUCCCUUGCCAUGAUGUUCUCCAAGUGAAAAGUCUACUCCCAAGCUUAGAUCUUUCUUGAAAAGAAGAGCUGGAGAGGCGUUGCCCUCCACCUGAAAAGCGUCUACUUGUGCUCGGUGCCACCCCAGAAGAUUAUAAAUUGCCAACCAGCAGGAAUCAUGUUUGGCAAAGCAAUGUGAAUCAGACACGUCUUGCUGCAGUCAAAGGAAUUGGGUGCAUGAAAAGGAUCAAUUACGGUGGUUUGCAGGAGGCGAUGAUCAUUUCAAAAUUCAAAGCACGGGGCACCGGAGUGCAUUUGGAGGUUGGAACUGUGACGACUAAUGAAACAUCUGCUGUCAGCUGGGGUUGUUGAAGUUCUGGAUGUUGGGCUGCGUGUUUGCUAGCUUCUCUGGUUGUCUCCUUCCCUUGGAAAUACAAACAUGUCUUCUUCUCCCAAAGGUGAUUCUUAUUUUUGUUUCGUUUUGGAAUUGAAGCAACUGCAGUCCGAACUGAUUGUACCUUAGAUGUAGGGUUUUUAAGAGUUUGGUUAUGUUGGACAUCACCGUUUUAGUGAGUUUGAAAGGAAUCAUUUAGAGUUGCA
This is a long non-coding RNA of Manihot esculenta (cassava), 1409 nucleotides long. RefSeq lists it as uncharacterized. The transcript has 3 exons. The record is from RefSeq and is a predicted model, not a curated record. NCBI's taxonomy places the organism in Eukaryota, Viridiplantae, Streptophyta, Magnoliopsida, Malpighiales, Euphorbiaceae.